UCGGAGAGCUUGCUCGAAGAUGGUGAGAGUGGCGCCCUUGAGCGUAACGCGUGAGCAACCUACCUCUAUCAGGGGGAUCUUCUCUCGAAAGAGAGAUUAACACCGCAUAACAUCAACAGUUCGCAUGUUCAGUUGAUUAAAUAUUUAUAGGAUAGAGAUGGGCUCGCGUGACAUUAGCUAGUUGGUAGGGUAACGGCUUACCAAGGCGACGAUGUCUAGGGGCUCUGAGAGGAGAAUCCCCCACACUGGUACUGAGACACGGACCAGACUCCUACGGGAGGCAGCAGUAAGGAAUAUUGGUCAAUGGGCGGAAGCCUGAACCAGCCAUGCCGCGUGCAGGAUGACUGCCCUAUGGGUUGUAAACUGCUUUUGUCCGGGAAUAAACCUAGAUACGUGUAUCUAGCUGAAUGUACUGGAAGAAUAAGGAUCGGCUAACUCCGUGCCAGCAGCCGCGGUAAUACGGAGGAUCCGAGCGUUAUCCGGAUUUAUUGGGUUUAAAGGGUGCGUAGGCGGCCUAUUAAGUCAGGGGUGAAAUACGGUGGCUCAACCAUCGCAGUGCCUUUGAUACUGAUGGGCUUGAAUCCAUUUGAAGUGGGCGGAAUAAGACAAGUAGCGGUGAAAUGCAUAGAUAUGUCUUAGAACUCCGAUUGCGAAGGCAGCUCACUAAGCUGGUAUUGACGCUGAUGCACGAAAGCGUGGGGAUCGAACAGGAUUAGAUACCCUGGUAGUCCACGCCCUAAACGAUGAUAACUCGAUGUUGGCGAUAGACAGCCAGCGUCCAAGCGAAAGCGUUAAGUUAUCCACCUGGGGAGUACGCC
Molecule: ribosomal RNA, 818 nt
Filed under: uncultured bacterium
Lineage: Bacteria
Description: bacterial SSU rRNA
Rfam family: Bacterial small subunit ribosomal RNA
Source: RNAcentral